AACGAACGCUGGCGGCAUGCCUAACACAUGCAAGUCGAACGAGACCUUCGGGUCUAGUGUCGCCCGGGUUCGUAACGCGUGGGAACCUGCCCUUAGGUUCGGAAUAACUCCCCGAAAGGGGUGCUAAUACCGGAUAAUGUCUUCUGACCAAAGAUUUAUCGCCGUUGGAUGGGCCCGCGUUGGAUUAGCUAGUUGUUAGGGUAAAAGCCUACCAAGGCGACGAUCCAUAGCUGGUCUGAGAGGAUGAUCAGCCACACUGGGACUGAGACACGGCCCAGACUCCUACGGGAGGCAGCAGUGGGGAAUAGUGGAAAAUGGGCGAAAGCCUGAUCCAGCAAUGACGCGUGAGUGAUGAAGGCAGUAGGGUUGUAAAGCUCUUUUAACCGGGAUGAUAAUGACAGUACCGGGAGAAUAAGCCCCGGCUAACUCCGUG
Molecule: ribosomal RNA, 433 nt
Filed under: uncultured bacterium
Lineage: Bacteria
Description: partial 16S ribosomal RNA
Rfam family: Bacterial small subunit ribosomal RNA
Source: RNAcentral